RNAcentral lists this transfer RNA (75 nucleotides) under Chloroflexota bacterium. RNAcentral describes it as "tRNA-Cys". It matches the Rfam family "tRNA". From Rfam's summary of the family: Transfer RNA (tRNA) molecules are approximately 80 nucleotides in length. Lineage: Bacteria; Bacillati; Chloroflexota. The record is from RNAcentral. RNAcentral also lists the same sequence under 1 other name.
GGCGACGUGGCCAAGUGGUUAAGGCAGGGGUCUGCAAAACCCCCAUCGGCGGUUCGAAUCCGCCCGUCGCCUCCA